Molecule: long non-coding RNA, 1119 nt
Filed under: Anser cygnoides (Swan goose)
Lineage: Eukaryota; Metazoa; Chordata; Aves; Anseriformes; Anatidae
Description: lncRNA (ENSACDG00005005031.1)
Source: RNAcentral
UGGGGGCUGUCCUGGGGAGGCGGAGGAACGGGAGGGGCCGGCCCAUGGGGACCCUGUGGGACCCUGUGGUGGCCAUAAGGGACCCCGCGGUGACCGAAUAAAGGCCUGUGAGGCUUUGUGGUGGCCGUGUGGGGCCUGUUGGUGACAGUCAGGGCCCUUGUGGUGGCCGUGUAUGUCACCAGUGUGACCGUGUGGGGCCCCAAGGGGACUGUGUGGGGCCCCUAAGUGAGCGUGUGGGACUCCGAGCUGCGGGCGGAUGUCGGGGGCGGGGGGAGGGCAGGGGACGGUUCCCAAAAUCACAUCACGAGCUGCGCCGCUCCGGCCACCACCUCCACCACCUCUCCUCUGGCUCCCGAGGCAUCUGACACAGACUCUGGGGACACAGACACAGAAUCUGGGAAUCUACCCUGGAAAAAACAGGUCUGUGCUCCUCUGAAGAGCCCUGAAGACGCCCGUGCUCCUGAGCGUGUUGGUAAGAGUGACAGGAGUCCUUCCCAGCUCAGACGUGCCCUUAGCAGCCCAGGAGAGACCAGGCUGCUGCAUCUGCUCCACCCUGCUCUGCCUAUGGCCACCUCCGGAGCCAUGGCACGUUGGUGCACGGAUGCAGCGUGGAGCAGAGCUAUGCAGCCCGAUGGUAAACCCUACCUGCGUGAUAAAAGUGUGUCACACGUGCCUCUGCGUAAAAGCAUGCACACAAGUAUUUAUGGAAUACCUCAGGCACGGUGCCUUCACACCCUGCCUCACCUCACCCCCGUGCAGUCAUACCAGUCGGCCUGGCUCCCAGAGGCACUGCGCCUCUCACCCCGCUGCGAACCUGCGCCUCCGUCCUGCUAAUGACACAGCAGCCGGGCUGCCACGGUGACAACGUGACUCCAGAAGCUGCUGCCUUUAAAAAAAAAAAAAAAAAAAAAAAAAAAAGGAAAGGAAACCAAACAAACAGCACUAAAUGUGCACAAUCAAAUGAUGAGUGUUUGUAUUGCUGAUGCUUUGAGGCCAGCUCACAACCCUCCCUCCACAUAAUGCUCAGGAUGUUUGGGAAGGGGUAUUUUUCUUUUAAUAGGGCAGCGUAGUCACAAAGCUUUAAAGAAAUAAAUGAGUGAAUCGUCUAUGGUAAUAGCA